UACGGAGGAUGCAAGCGUUAUCCGGAAUGCUUGGGCGUAAAGCGUCCGCAGGUGGCUAUGUAAGUCUGCUGUUAAAGAGUCUAGCUCAACUAGAUAAGAGCAGUGGAAACUACAAGGCUAGAGUACGUUCGGGGCAGAGGGAAUUCCUGGUGUAGCGGUGAAAUGCGUAGAGAUCCGGAAGAACACCGGUGGCGAAGGCGGCAUUCUGGACCGACAUUGACGCUGAGGAGCGAAAGCCAGGGGAGCAAACGGG
Molecule: ribosomal RNA, 253 nt
Filed under: uncultured bacterium
Lineage: Bacteria
Description: partial 16S ribosomal RNA
Rfam family: Bacterial small subunit ribosomal RNA
Source: RNAcentral